AGCGAACGCUGGCGGCAGGCUUAACACAUGCAAGUCGAGCGGGCAUCCUUGUGGUGUCAGCGGCAGACGGGUGAGUAACGCGUGGGAACGUGCCCUUCGGUUCGGAAUAACUCAGGGAAACUUGAGCUAAUACCGGAUACGUGCGAGAGCAGAAAGGUUUAUCUGCCGAAGGAUCGGCCCGCGUCUGAUUAGCUAGUUGGUGAGGUUACGGCUCACCAAGGCGACGAUCAGUAGCUGGUCUGAGAGGAUGAUCAGCCACACUGGGACUGAGACACGGCCCAGACUCCUACGGGAGGCAGCAGUGGGGAAUAUUGGACAAUGGGGACAACCCUGAUCCAGCCAUGCCGCGUGAGUGAUGACGGCCUUAGGGUUGUAAAGCUCUUUUCUCCGGGACGAUAAUGACGGUACCGGAGGAAUAAGCCCCGGCUAACUUCGUG
RNAcentral lists this ribosomal RNA (437 nucleotides) under uncultured bacterium. RNAcentral's name for it is "partial 16S ribosomal RNA". It matches the Rfam family "Bacterial small subunit ribosomal RNA", at positions 29 to 507 of the family's 1533-position model. The record is from RNAcentral.